This is a long non-coding RNA of Homo sapiens (human), 217 nucleotides long. RefSeq lists it as uncharacterized. The record is from RefSeq and is a predicted model, not a curated record. The transcript has 2 exons. NCBI's taxonomy places the organism in Eukaryota, Metazoa, Chordata, Mammalia, Primates, Hominidae.
AAACAUGUAAGAAUCAGAGAUAUUUAUGGAAAAUGAUGAUACUUUCUUUACUUCCAGGUAUUAGAGGAAUAUGAUUCGAAAGAGGCUUUCUUGGCCUUCUGCCUUCCACCAUUAGAUGAUGCAGCAAGAAGACCAUCACCAGGUACUGACACACCUUAAUUUUGGACUUUCCAGCCUCCAGAAGCAUGAGAAAUAAAUUUAUUUUCUUUAUAAAUUA